UGGGAUAUAACUCAGCAGCACAGUGCCUGCCUGGCAAGCAGGAGGCUAUAAAUUCGAUUCCUGGUAUCCCCA
This 72-nucleotide transfer RNA is filed under the name Cavia porcellus (domestic guinea pig). It matches the Rfam family "tRNA". Rfam says of the family: Transfer RNA (tRNA) molecules are approximately 80 nucleotides in length. Their secondary structure includes four short double-helical elements and three loops (D, anti-codon, and T loops). Lineage: Eukaryota; Metazoa; Chordata; Mammalia; Rodentia; Caviidae. The record is from Rfam by way of RNAcentral.